UGCUGCACUCGUGCAGCUCCGGGUGGCAAACGGGGUGAAGUGGGGGCGAGGGCGAGAGGAAGUUGAGGUGCUGGAGCGUCAGAAACGCUGCCUUGGCUUCCCCUGCUCUUGGGAGGCUGUCCCAAGACGGGGCUGGAGGGCUCUGCACGGCGGACUUCCAAGUUGCCCCGGCACAGCAGGAGGUCGGGAGUUUUGAGCCCCCUGAGGGCGGUACCCCGGAGGUCCCAAGUCCCCACGAGAAGCCGGGUGCACAGGACGGCGUGGCGCGCUCGGAGCGCACCGAGCCGAGCAGAAGCAAAAGAUAAACCCUGAUGGGCCCGGGGGCUGGCUGGCUGGGGCGCAGAGUCAGCGCGGACCGGGAGCGCCUUUCGUUUUAAGGAGCCUUACUUCUGGGAAGGGACAGGGAACUGUCAAUCAGCGAGGGAGGGAGCGCACCGGCGCUGGGUGAUGUCAGCGGAUCAUCUGCUCGAUAACAAAGAGAGGGUAUUACAGGAGAAAGUUGCAGCGGCGGCGGCGGCCACGGCGGCACCCCGGAGCAUCGGAGACGAGGGGCCAGCGGGCGAAGGGAGGAGCGGGGGGACGGCUGCUGCCGCAGCAGCUUAAGACCAAGGAAUUGAAAGGGCUGUAGGGGGAGGCAGUGCGAACCAGCCCCGACUGCCCCUCCUCUUCCUCCUCCUCCUCCAAACUCGCAGGGUUCAGCCCCAGCGCUCGCUCAGCCACCGGGAGCACCCGGACGGACGGGAGGCAGCCGCGCGGCCCCGAGCUGGGCACGGUCCCCAGGCGCCAUGGAUAGCGACGACGAGAUGGUGGAGGAGGCGGUGGAAGGGCACCUGGAUGAUGAUGGAUUACCACAUGGCUUCUGCACGGUCACUUACUCCUCCACGGACAGAUUUGAGGGGAACUUUGUUCACGGAGAAAAGAACGGACGGGGCAAGUUCUUCUUCUUUGAUGGCAGCACCCUGGAAGGGUAUUAUGUGGACGAUGCCCUGCAGGGCCAGGGAGUGUACACUUAUGAGGACGGGGGCGUUCUCCAGGGCACAUAUGUAGACGGAGAGCUGAAUGGGCCCGCCCAGGAGUAUGACACGGAUGGGAGAUUGAUCUUCAAGGGGCAGUACAAGGAUAACAUUCGGCAUGGAGUCUGCUGGAUAUACUACCCAGAUGGAGGCAGCCUUGUGGGAGAAGUAAAUGAAGAUGGGGAGAUGACUGGAGAGAAGAUAGCCUAUGUGUACCCUGAUGAGAGGACAGCACUUUAUGGAAAAUUCAUUGAUGGAGAGAUGAUAGAGGGAAAACUGGCUACCCUUAUGUCCACUGAAGAAGGAAGGCCUCACUUUGAGCUGAUGCCGGGAAGUUCGGUGUACCACUUUGAUAAAUCGACAUCAUCUUGCAUUUCUACCAGUGUUCUUCUUCCAGAUCCAUAUGAAUCAGAGAGGGUUUAUGUUGCUGAAUCUCUCAUUUCCAGUGCUGGAGAAGGACUAUUUUCAAAGGUAGCAGUGGGACCUAAUACUGUUAUGUCUUUUUAUAAUGGAGUCCGGAUUACACACCAAGAGGUUGACAGCAGGGACUGGGCUCUUAAUGGGAAUACCCUCUCCCUCGAUGAAGAAACGGUCAUUGAUGUGCCUGAGCCCUACAGCCACGUGUCCAAGUACUGUGCCUCCUUGGGACACAAGGCAAAUCACUCCUUCACUCCAAACUGCAUCUACGAUAUAUUCUAUUUAUUUGACAGAGAGAGACACAGCGAGAGAGGGAACACAAGCAGUGGGAGAGGGAGAAGCAGGCCUCCCGAGGAACAGGGAGCCCGACGCGGGGCUUGACCCAGGACCCCGGGAUCAUGACCCGAGCCGAAGGCAGACGCCUAACGACUGAGCCAGCCAGGUGCCCCCAUUUUGAGUUGUUUUAAAAUGUUAUUAGCUAUUUGCCAUUUUCAAAGCAUGAGAGGAGGGGUAUGGAAUGGCUAGGAGCUUUACAUUUAUUUAGCAUGACUCCACAUACACCUGUGAAUCCAGAAGAAUCAUCAACAUCAACCCAAAGGGUCUAGUUCAUUACGUAAAUGUUAAGGGUAUUGAAUAUAAAUGAACUGAUCAGGGGAAGUAUCUGAAGGACGGGAAGCUUCAGCUCAUGGUUUAAAGAAGAUAAUAGGAAUUUUAUUAGAUGUGGUAGAUUUGGGUACUCUUAGGACAGCUUUGAGCUGAGGAAACCAGGAACCCCUUGUUCCUCCCCAAAUCACAGCUCACAUUCCCAAACUCACUCCUACAACAUUCCCAAAGAAAAAAGCCAAUGACACACAUGUAAAAAUAGUACUCUGCUACCACCUGCACCUUGUGCCCAGGGACCCAAAGCAGUGGAUUCUAGUAAGUGGGGCGUUAUUAAGGGAGGCACAGUUAAGCAUCAAACUGAAGCAGGUGUGAGACCUCCUGCUUGAUCUUCCCUCCCUCAGUUGACCAGUCUUUGAUUUUCUCACACUUCCUUCCAUUCAAGGAAGGAAAGGGAAGCAAAUAAGAUGACUAAUCCAGACUCUGAUGCUGGAUUAGCUUCAUCACCCGGAUGGAGACACAUCCAUAUCUGGAUCUUUAAGACAGAGUUUCACCCACUGACACACAAUAUUAGUAUUCUUCCUCCUUGCAGGAGAGACGGGGAUGAGAUUAAAAUUUUAAUGCAAAUUGGGUGACUCUGAGAAGCUAAAAUCUCAAAAGGGAAGGAUCAGGCAUCUUUUUGGGUAUUAAAAUUGGUGUGGAAUCAAGGGUGGUAGAAUAAGGUAAGGUGAGGAAGACCGAGACCAAAUUAUUUUAGUCUCAGUGAUCGUCCCACAUAUACCUCUCACUAAAUGUCUGCCUUGAGGUUUUAAUGCUCCAAACUGUUCUGUCUGCUGGUUCAUGUUACACUUGAAAGUAUUUCAGUGGCCAUAUCCAGAAUUAGAUAAGUCAUUCAGAAGGAUUUUAUGCUAUGCUCGACAUUUAUUUUUUUAAAAAGAUUUUAUUUAUUUGAGAGAUAGCAAGAGAGCACAAGCAGGGGGAGCAGCAGAAGGAGAAGGAGAAGCAGGCUCCCCACUGAGCAGGGAGCCCGAUGAUGCGAUGUGGGGCUCCAUCCCAGGACCCUGGGAUCAUGACCUGAGCCGAAGGCAGAUGGUUAACCAACUGAGCCACCCAGGCACCCCUGUGCUCGACAUUUAAUUUCAGUUCAGCAUCUGACUGAUUUGGGGUGGUUCAAUAAGAAAGUUCUGCUCCAAAACUAUUUUAGAAAACAACUGUUGCCUUUUAUAUAAAAACAUAAUGCUAACUAACUCUACAGCAACAUACUGGUAUAUGUUUUUCUUAAAAUUUUGUUUCUUUGUGAAAACCAAAAGCCAUGGUUUUGGGAAAUUAGAGCCUCACUUCUUAUACAUAGAAAAAGAUGAAUGGAUUUAUCUAGCUUGCUACUAAAUUUUUUUUUUUUUAAAGAUUUUAUUUAUUUGACAGCGAGAGCACAAGCAGAGGGAGAGAGAGAGAGAAGCAGGCUCCCCACCGAGUAAGGAGCCCGAUGUGGGACUCGAUCCCUGGACCCUGGGAUCCUGACCCGGGCCGAAGGCAGCCGCUUAACCAACUGAGCCACCCAGGCAUCCCUGCUACUAAAUUUUUACUUCAAGUAUCAGAAUGCUUCCAGCUUCAAGAAACAUAAAAACCCAACUCAAUAUGGCUUAAGCAGUAAAGAAAAUUUAUUACCUCACAUAAUAAGACCCUCACAUAAUGAGACACUGUUGAGUGACCCUGGAGUUGUUAAUUCAGCAGCUCAGCCAGGUCCUUUCCAUCUUUCUGCUCCGCAAUUCUCAGCUUGUCAGGUUUGCCCUCAGGGACCAGCCCACCUCACAUUCACAGUAUGGCUGUUGUAGUUCCAGACAUCACAGCCAGCAUCCAGUGGGUGAAAAGGAAAGUCUCUUCUCUGUACCACUGCGGAAACCUAAAUGAAUCACUUGCAAGGGCCAUGGCGGUGUCGUGAUUAUCCGAGGGAAGCAUAGGGCUUUGUGGAGAAGAGUGGGUGGCCCAAACAAAGCUAGGGUUUUCCCAGCAAGAAAGAAAGAAGAAGUGACAGUUGGGCUGACCAUCCACAGUAUCUGCUUCAUCUGCAACACAGGUUUUGUUUUAUUUUCUUCAGAGAAGAAAGGUUAGUCUCUUUAAAUAAAUAAAUGGAUUUUUAAAUUAAUUCACAUCAAUUUAGAGAAUUCUCAAGUGGUGGGUAUGGGAGAGGUUCUACAAAUAUACAUUUAUGUAGAGUUUAUAAGGUGGUUUUAAAUAUUUAGAUGAUUUCUUAACAGCCAUAUGAUAGAGGUACUGCUAUUAUCCCAUUUCACAGAAGGGAGAACUGAGGCAUAGAGAUGUUAAGUAACUUGCAAUUAAGUAAUAGUCAUGGAAGUGGUAGAGGCAGAGUCUGAAGCCAGACGGCUGGGCUCCAGGCUAUUCUCUUAACCACAGUUGUGGGAGCUCCUAUCUCCUCCUGACCUUGACAUGCUAAGGCCAUCGUUAAUAUCCUUAGUCCUCCUUUCCCUUGUUCAUUUGCUUAGCGCCAAUCAACUGAUCUCACAGACUGUGGUCCCUCCUCGAGCCAUGGGACACCCAGACCAGCUUCCCCUACUUGUAUUCUCACCACUUUCUGCCCGGAUCCAGAACUCCCAGACCCCUCUGCCUGGAUUUCAGUCGUAGCUUCUCCAUCGCAUCUCAUCUUCCAUUCCUCACCAGCACCACAUGAAGCUCCCUCAGUGACAAGGCUUCCCCGUUCCUGCCGGUCCUUGGUGGCACUGGGAGGGCCAUGUGCUGGAAAGGAGCUGGGCUCAACAGGCAGACUGGUUUUUUGCUUUGUAUUUUUGUUUUUUUUCCUACUUUGCCCAUCCCCUGCCCUCUUCGGGCAACCACCAGUUUUUUCUCUGUGUUUAUGAGUUUGUUUCCGUUUUUUUUGUCUGUUUUGUGUGUGUGAUUUUUUUUUUUCUUAGAUUCUAUACAUAAGUGAAAUGAAAUGGUAUUUGUCUUUCUCUGUCUGACUUAUUUCACUUCACAUAAUACCCCCUAGGUCCAUCCCUGUUGUCCCAAGUGGCAGGAUUCCAUUUUUGUUUAUGGCUGAGUAGUAUUCCACUGUGUACAUAUACUACCUCUUAUUUAUCCAUUCAUCAAUCUGUGGAUGUUUAUGUUGUUUCCAUAUCUUGGCUAUGGUAAAUAAUGCAGGAAUGAACAUAGGGGCACAAAUGUCUUUUCAAAUUAGUGUUUUGGUUUUCUUCGGAUACUCAGAAGGGGAAUUGCUAGAUCAUUUGGUAAUUCUCAUGUUAAUUGCUUGAGGAAUCUCUAUACUAUAUUCCAUAAUGGCUGCACCAGUUUACACUCCCACAGUGCACCAGGGUUUUCUUUUUCUCCCCAUCCUUGCCAACAGUUGUUUUCUCUCAUCUUUUUGAUAUUAGCCAUCCUGAUAGGUGUGAGGUAAUAGCUCAUUAUAGUUUGAUUUGCAUUUCCCUGAUGCUUAGUGAAGUUGAGCAGUUUAUCAUGUGUCUGUUGACCAUCUGGAUGUCUUCUUUGGAAAAAUGUCCAUUUAGGUCCUCUGCCCAUUUUUUAAUUGGAUUGUUUGCUUUUGAGUCAGCCUGGUUUUAAUCGGCUUUGCCGCUGUCUUUGUGACAUUGGGCUAUAGGUUGGACUCUAGCAAAUGUGGAUAAAACCUGCUGCACAGGGGUGCUCUGGGAUUGAAGAGACUGAGUGAUGCGUGCUGUGCCCCCACCCUCUUCCUUCCUCCAGUGCAGUCACCUGCACCUCCCUGUCUUUUGAAAUGCUGGGCUCUCACCCCCUCGAGACCUGUGCAUGUCUUCCUCCGGGGUAGCUGCCUGGCUCCCUCCCACCUUCAAGUCCUCACUGAAAUAGGCCUACCUUGGCCACCCCACCUAAACUGCAACCCCCUUCUCCCCCCAGAAUCCCCAAACCAGUUUGCCUUCCUUUCUUUUUCUCCAUACCACCCAUCACCUUCUAACUUACUAUCUAAUUUAGUAAUCCAUCACGCUUGUUUAUGGUCUCCUCCCACUAGACUGUCCGCUCCAGGCGGGCAUGGAUUUCAGUCUGUUUCAUUCACUGGUGGGUCUUCAACAGCUGACGCACAGUAAGCAUUCAAGAAAUUCAAUGAAGGAAUGGGACAGAGUGGAUCGUAAUGGUUAAGAGAGCUUUGGCAAUCGCCUUAGGUUGAAAACCCAGCUCUGUCAUGUCCUAACUGUGGACAUAACUUCUUUGUGCCUCAGUUUUCUUUAUUCGUAAAUUUGUAAGUUUUAACAAUUUUUGUAAAAUUGCACGAAUAAUGAUACCUGGGGGAAAAAAAGAAAAGAAAAAGUUUGUGUUUGAGGCGUGGUGCAGGUUCACUAACCGUGGCCCUACUACUUCAGAGUGCCAAAGCCUGCCUCCUUCCGAGAAGUCCCCAGUGAAGACGCCUUGCCCGGCAAAGCUCCCCUGACUCUCCGGGCCCGCCCUCACUGGUCCCCCCUCUCUGCACCACACGGAGGCCAACAGGCCACGCCAAAGUGUGCGCUGCGUAGACUGCUGAAUGAGUGAAGCAUCCAGCUCGCUUCUCACUUACAUGACAGGCUUUUGGGAACCAGCAAGUGUUUCUUCCUGGAUGCAUAUGAAGCAAUCUCCAAAUAUUUGAGUUCCAAAGCAACCCAUUAAUUCUUCAUGGUCCAGCUCCCUCUUGUGGUAAGGAUCUGGUACUGUUUCAGACCUGGAGCUCUAAAACAAAAAGAACUUAAGCAAAAGGAAGAUUUAAUACAUUUCAAAGACAAACAUAAACGCUGUGCUGAAGUUUACCCCCAUCAUCAGGUGGAACUUUGAUGAACCAACUGAAGACACCACUUUCAGGACUUUUUAACGUUUCAAAUAAGCCCAAAUUUCAAAAGAGCCAAUAACACGUUUGAAGCCUACGGUAAACUAAGUUGAACAGAACUUGUUUAUUUUUCAAAACAAACCAAAGCAUUUCACGUCAUAUAGCUCUUUAAAAUCUCUAUCUGGCUAGAGCACAGUUUUCUGCAAAACACGGGUUAUAAAUUCAUUAGUCCUGAAUUAAUCUAAUCUUGUACUUCCCUAACCUAUCACUUCUUUUUCUUUAUGAGUCAACAUGAGUUGUGAGAGAGUCGUGGAUCACCAGGGGACAUUACCUUCUAGUUAACCUUAUGCACAAACUAUGCAGAACCAAAUGCAAGUAUUUAAGAUACCUUCACCAAUGAGCAGCUUCCCGAGUUUCUUCUAAUCUCUAGAAUCUAGCUCAUAGUUGGGGCAGAGGGAUAUAGUUUCUCCAAAACAAGAGAAUCUUAAGUAGCUUAAAAUAAAAAAUGGAGUCAUAUUCAAGCUCACCAUGUGAGCGGGAUAUAUACUGGGGGGAGCUCUGUUCCAUCCAUACCUACCAAAAUUGUCCCUAAAAGGAAAAUAACUUAUCCCAGUAGAAUGGAGGUAUCAGAGAAAUUUCUCAAAAUUUCUUUACACAGUAGAGCUAUCCAAAAUUUAGCACUUGGCCUGUGUGUGUGCGUGUGUGCGUGUGUGUGUACUGGAACACCACUUAUGUAGGGAAGAUCUACAGCCCCAUGACUAUGUGAAACAGCCAGAAAUCUGAAAGCAUGUGAUUGCUGAGCAGCCAAUAGCUAUUUCAAAGUUCAUGCCCUUUGUUCUGUAGAACCUCCCUGACGCAACCACCAUGGAAUGUCAGCCUUCCAGCCUCAGAGCCUCCGGACCCGUGAGAGGUGGGGGCCAGCAAGAGAGAGCAGAGGGAGUAGCAUUAGAAAAUGUGGCUGGUUU
Molecule: RNA transcript, 7775 nt
Organism: Mirounga angustirostris (Northern elephant seal)
Lineage: Eukaryota; Metazoa; Chordata; Mammalia; Carnivora; Phocidae
Gene: SETD7
Gene name: SET domain containing 7, histone lysine methyltransferase
Exons: 9
Source: RefSeq, a predicted model, not a curated record